AGAGUUUGAUCCUGGCUCAGGAUGAACGCUAGCGGCAGGCUUAAUACAUGCAAGUCGUGGGGCAGCAGGGGUAGCAAUACUCGCUGGCGACCGGCAAACGGGUGCGCAAUACGUACGCAACCUUCCUUUAAGCGGGGAAUAGCCCAGGGAAACUUGGAUUAAUACCCCAUAAUAUGAUGAAAGGGCAUCCUUUUAUUAUUAAAGCUCCGGCACUUAAAGAUGGGCGUACGGCUGAUUAGGUAGUUGGCGGGGUAACGGCCCACCAAGCCUACGAUCAGUAGCUGAUGUGAGAGCAUGAUCAGCCACACGGGCACUGAGACACGGGCCCGACUCCUACGGGAGGCAGCAGUGAGGAAUAUUGGUCAAUGGGCGCAAGCCUGAACCAGCCAUGCCGCGUGGAGGAUGAAGGCCCUCUGGGUUGUAAACUUCUUUUAUCUGGGAAGAAAAGUACGGUUUCUACUGUAUCCGACGGUACCAGAUGAAUAAGCACCGGCUAACUCCGUGCCAGCAGCCGCGGUAAUACGGAGGGUGCAAGCGUUAUCCGGAUUUACUGGGUUUAAAGGGUGUGUAGGCGGAUAUUUAAGUCAGAGGUGAAAUCUCCGGGCUCAACCCGGAAACUGCCUUUGAUACUAUUUAUCUUGAAUUUCGUUGAGGUUGGCGGAAUAUAUCAUGUAGCGGUGAAAUGCAUAGAUAUGAUAUAGAACACCGAUUGCGUAGGCAGCUGGCUGAACGACGAUUGACGCUGAGGCACGAAAGCGUGGGUAGCGAACAGGAUUAGAUACCCUGGUAGUCCACGCCCUAAACGAUGAUUACUCGACAUAUGCGAUACACAGUAUGUGUCUGAGCGAAAGCAUUAAGUAAUCCACCUGGGAAGUACGUCCGCAAGGAUGAAACUCAAAGGAAUUGACGG
RNAcentral lists this ribosomal RNA (910 nucleotides) under uncultured bacterium. Its description in RNAcentral is "bacterial SSU rRNA". It matches the Rfam family "Bacterial small subunit ribosomal RNA", at positions 8 to 916 of the family's 1533-position model. The record is from RNAcentral.